GAUCAAUGAUUAAAGUAACCAAAUUUGAGCAUCAGAAGACCUUCCAGUCUACUUGUUGCAUGAGCUGUACAGUUUUGAGA
Molecule: small nucleolar RNA, 80 nt
Filed under: Callithrix jacchus (white-tufted-ear marmoset)
Lineage: Eukaryota; Metazoa; Chordata; Mammalia; Primates; Cebidae
Description: Small nucleolar RNA U2-19 (ENSCJAG00000055512.2)
Rfam family: Small nucleolar RNA U2-19
About the family: U2-19 is a member of the C/D class of snoRNA which contain the C (UGAUGA) and D (CUGA) box motifs.
Source: Rfam by way of RNAcentral